AACGAACGCUGGCGGCAUGCCUAACACAUGCAAGUCGAACGAACCCUUCGGGGUUAGUGGCGCACGGGUGCGUAACGCGUGGGGAUCUGCCCUGUGCUUCGGAAUAACAGUUAGAAAUGACUGCUAAUACCGGAUGAUGUCGCAAGACCAAAGAUUUAUCGGCAAAGGAUGAACCCGCGUAGGAUUAGCUAGUUGGUGGGGUAAAGGCCUACCAAGGCGACGAUCCUUAGCUGGUCUGAGAGGAUGAUCAGCCACACUGGGACUGAGACACGGCCCAGACUCCUACGGGAGGCAGCAGUGGGGAAUAUUGGACAAUGGGCGAAAGCCUGAUCCAGCAAUGCCGCGUGAGUGAUGAAGGCCUUAGGGUUGUAAAGCUCUUUUACCAGGGAUGAUAAUGACAGUACCUGGAGAAUAAGCUCCGGCUAACUCCGUGCCAGCAGCCGCGGUAA
RNAcentral lists this ribosomal RNA (449 nucleotides) under uncultured bacterium. RNAcentral describes it as "partial 16S ribosomal RNA". It matches the Rfam family "Bacterial small subunit ribosomal RNA", at positions 29 to 523 of the family's 1533-position model. The record is from RNAcentral.